AAGGUUUCCGUAGGUGAACCUGCGGAAGGAUCAUUAUUGAAUGAACUUGGUGUGGUUGUCGCUGGCCCUCUUGGGGGCAUGUGCACACCUACCAUYCUCAUCUCUCCACCUGUGCACCUCUUGUAGAUUUGGAAUUGAUUAUCCGAGGCAACUCGGUCGUGAGGACUGCUAGCACUUAGCCRGCUUUCUUUGCAAUUCCAGGUCUAUGUUUUUCAUAUACCCCAUUGUAUGUAACAGAAUGUAUCAUUGGGCCCUUGUGCCUAUAAACCUUAUACAACUUUCAGCAACGGAUCUCUUGGCUCUCGCAUCGAUGAAGAACGCAGCGAAAUGCGAUAAGUAAUGUGAAUUGCAGAAUUCAGUGAAUCAUCGAAUCUUUGAACGCACCUUGCGCUCCUUGGUAUUCCGAGGAGCAUGCCUGUUUGAGUGUCAUUAAAUUCUCAACCAUUAUCAACUUUUGCUGAUAAUGGCUUGGAUGUGGGGGUCUAUUUUGCUGGCUUCUCAGAUAGUCAGCUCCCCUUAAAUGCAUUAGCCGGUGCCCCGCGUGGACUGUCUAUUGGUGUGAUAAUUAUCUACGCUAUAGACAUCYGCAAUCAUAUGGGUUUGCGCUGCUUCUAACAGUCUGUUGAUUCAGACAAUACAUGACAAUUUGACCUCAAAUCAGGUAGGACUACCCGCUGAACUUAA
This 684-nucleotide ribosomal RNA is filed under the name Hebeloma aanenii. RNAcentral's name for it is "eukaryotic LSU rRNA". The record is from RNAcentral. Lineage: Eukaryota; Fungi; Basidiomycota; Agaricomycetes; Agaricales; Hymenogastraceae.